Molecule: ribosomal RNA, 445 nt
Filed under: Priestia flexa
Lineage: Bacteria; Bacillati; Bacillota; Bacilli; Caryophanales; Bacillaceae
Description: bacterial SSU rRNA
Rfam family: Bacterial small subunit ribosomal RNA
Source: RNAcentral
GGGCGUAAGCGCGCGCAGGCGGUUUCUCAAGUCUGAAUGUGAAAUCCCCCGGCUUCAACCUGGGAGGUGCAUUUGGAAACUUGGGGAGCUUUGAGUCCUGAAGAGAGGAGUAGAAUUUCCACGUGUAGCGGUGAAAUGCGUAGAGAUGUGGAGGAACACCGGUGGCGAAGGCGGCUCUCUUUGGUACUGUAACUGACGCUGAGGCGCGAAAGCGUGGGGAGCAAACAGGAUUAGAUACCCUGGUAGUCCACGCCGUAAACGAUGACUGUUUGGAGGUUGAGGGUUUCAGCCCUUUAUUGCUGAGCUUAACGCAUUAAUCACUCCGCCGGGGAAUUACGGCCGCAAGACUGAACUUCAAUGGAUUUGACGGGGGCCCCCCCAACCGGGGAACCUGGUGGUUUAUUUCAUACCACCCCGAAAAACCUUACUGGGUCUUGACUUCCUC